This is a long non-coding RNA of Lucilia cuprina (Australian sheep blowfly), 720 nucleotides long. RefSeq lists it as uncharacterized. The record is from RefSeq and is a predicted model, not a curated record. Lineage: Eukaryota; Metazoa; Arthropoda; Insecta; Diptera; Calliphoridae. The transcript is spliced from 2 exons.
GUAAGUAAGUAAGUAUGUAUAUGGAACAAGAGGGAUACAGCGCAUGUUAAAAAUGAGCAAAAGAAGUAAAACCUUAUCCAAGAAUAAACUAAUUGCAACGUGUUGUGUUUGCUAAAAUGCAUUUAAUUUUCAUGUCUAAAGAAGGAGCAACUUUAACUGUUGGAAACCUUGAAAUGCUCUUCUAGUAACUACGGGUACUGCAGUUUGCUAGUGAGUGGGUUAUGCAACCCAUAAUCAUACACAUCUCCAUGUUAUUGUCUGGAAUGAAAAGCGCGGUUCUUUUGCAGGUUUUUAUUUGCAGCAGUGGAUAGUAGACGGAUUAAAUAGAAUGAACAACAACAAUGCUGGGAAUAUAUACACGAAACGAACAUACAACUUCUCACUAAAAAACCAAAUGGCAGCAAUAUAGAAAAAAAUACCCGUAUUAAAGAAAGUGUGGAAAGAAUAAAAAAAUAAAAAGUGUACAAGAAAAAUUUAAUACCAACAUAAGACUUCCGGCAUUGCAACAAUUGUCUUUCAACAAAAUGCAUUUUAGCUUAUGCCAUCCAACCAACCAGGCAGCCAGGCACGACUGAGCAAACAAACAUUAUGAUUUUAGGACAUUGGAUAAAAUAUUGGUCGAAAACGAACUUAAAUGUGCUCUGUAUACUAAAUUUCUUUAAAUUUAUAUUUAUGUUCACAAAAUUUUGUUAUGUCAAUAAAAUCAAUUUUUAAAUUUAA